This 36515-nucleotide long non-coding RNA is filed under the name Triticum aestivum (bread wheat). Its description in RNAcentral is "long non-coding RNA (TAES_LNC015019)". The stretch from base 20545 to 20617 matches the Rfam family "tRNA". Lineage: Eukaryota; Viridiplantae; Streptophyta; Magnoliopsida; Poales; Poaceae. The record is from RNAcentral.
UGCUCUUUUGUAGCGGCGCACCUUUGUGGCCUGGCCUUUUGCUGUGGAAGGGAGAAGCAAAUGUUACUUGUCCCCCGUAUAUAGAAGUGUGUUACUGUGUUACUGUUGUUGUUGUUGUUGCCGUAAACUUCAUCACUAUUAAGUUGAAAUCAUUAGAUCGCUAGCUUUUUUAUGUUUUUGUUUUUUAAAAGAUCACUAGCUUAUUUGUUGUUGUUUGUUGUAUAAACACCAGGACUAUCAUGUUGAAACCAUUAGAUCACUAGCUUGUGCUGCCAUUUGUCUAUCUACCGAUCAUCUAUAUUAUUGUACAUUAUUAAGUCUAAACGAUUAAAAGUGCAGCUGUAUUAUUUAGUGUAUAUUAUUAGCUAUUUAUAAGCUCUCGUGUUUCGAUUACCGUGGGAUCAUUCCCCUUUAAUCCAUAUGUGAGGCGGAUAUAAGGAGGCUUGGACUCGUCCGCCAAAUCAAAAUGACGGGAAGGGCCCUUGCCAAAGCCAAAGCCCAUCGGUCCGCCGGGUGCCUCCUCCAGGUCGAUGAGAAAGCAUUCAUGGAGUUGGAGUGAAAUCCAUAAAACCACCACAAAAGCAGUGUUAUUAGUGAAAAAUCACCACUUUACAAACCAUGGCAAAAUUCACCGCGCCAAAAAAAAUUGAAAGUGGCAAAAAAACGAUGAACAAUUUUUAGAUCUCCUUGUGACGUGGCUAACCGUUCGCGGGGUGACGGCACGCGUAACGGCCGCUAACGACUAGUCUGGCCGGCUCGGUCAAAACAACAGCCAACCCAGCUCAUUCACUCACGUCAACUCCACCGCGCGACCCUAUCCUGUUCGUCCCUGUUCGUUUGGGGUAAAAUGGACAAACGAGACGGCCCAACGCACGGGCGCAAACGGAGUUUUGUCCGCUUUGUGUCCGCUUUCGACCCAUCCCUGGCCCAAGUUUGCGCCGGUUUUGGGGUGAAACGGACAGCGCGCGGACGGACGGGACGCGCGCGCUUGUCCUCCCCUGACCCGCCUGUCGGUGGGAGAAACCAAACCCCCCACGCCCAUUUGGCGCCAUUUUCCCCAAACCCUCCCACAUCCCUCCCGCCGCCCCCUCUCUCCCCCGUCCAUGGCCGACGCCCCGCCGAGUUCCGGCGGCCUGGCCGUCGACCCGCCCGCAAAGGUGAAGAAGAAGGCGCCAAGGAAGCCGCGGUCGGAGUGCACGCCGGAGGAGAUCGCCAAGUUGGACGCGGAAUCGGCGAAGAGGAGGGAACGGAGAGCGGUCGUCAAGGUCAAUGCCGCCGUGGCCAAGUUCGCUGCCCAACGCGAUGAGCUGGAGGCCGCGCGGCGCAAGGCCGCGGCCGACGAGAAGGAGGACCUCGUCAACAAAGCGCACGCCAUCCUCAUGCUUGGCAUGGGCCGUCCGGCCGGGUUCCCUGCAGCGGCCGUCGGCCCGGCGAGCACAGGCUCGUCGGUCGCCCGGCCUACGCACUGCCAGUCGCCGACCUCGCGCACCGCGCCCAUGUCGCCCGGCUUUCCUCCGCCAAGGCACGACGGCCAGACCCGUUUCUCGGGGUUGUUAGACGUGGGCUUGUUCGCGCCGUCGACACCGCGCCCCGCGGCCGUCAUCGACCUCAACGUCAUGCCUGGGUCCAGCAGCGGCGGCCGGCCAGCCGCCGAGAUGCAAAGAAAGUAGGCAUGGGCACCGUUCACGGCCACCAUGCCGGCCCCCCGCGUCUUGUUUGACGGAAUGCCAACCCCAACGCCAACGGUCGACGACCCCUUCUACUGUUGGGGAACGUAGCAGAAAUUCAAAAUUUUCCUACGUGUCACCAAGAUCUAUCUAUGGAGAGACCAGCAACGAGUAGAAGGAGAGUGCAUCUACAUACCCUUGUAGAUCGCUAAGCGGAAGCAUUCAAGUGAACGGGGUUGAUGGAGUCGUACUCGUCAUGAUUCAAAUCACCGAUGACCAAGUGCCGAACGGACGGCACCUCCGCGUUCAACACACGUACAGCCCGGUGACGUCUCCCACGCCUUGAUCCAGCAAGGAGAGAGGGAGAGGUUGAGGAAGACUCCAUCCAACAGCAGCACAACAGCGUGGUGGUGGUGGAGGAGCGUGGCAAUCCCGCAGGGCUUCGCCAAGCACCAUGGGAGAAGAGGAGGAGGGAGAGGGGCAGGGCUGCACCAACGAGAGAUCAAAUCGCGUAUUAUGGGCAGCCCCAUGCCUCAAUAUAUAUAGGGGGGAAGGGGGCUGCGCCCCCUUUAGGGUUUUCCCACCCCCUAGGGGCGGCGGCCAGCCCUAGAUGGGUUUUGGGGUGCGGCCAAGAGGGGGGGGAGGAGUCCAUCCUCCCCAAGGCACCUCGGAGGUGCCUUCCCCCUUGAGGACUCUUCCCUCUAGGGUUCCCUAGGCGCAUGGGCCUCUUGGGGCUGGUGCCCUUGGCCCAUGUAGGCCAAGGCGCACCCCCUACAGCCCAUGUGGCCCCCGGGGCAGGUGGCCCCACCCGGUGGGCCCCCGGGACCCUUCCGGUGGUCCCGGUACAAUACCGAUGACCCCGAAACUUGUCCCGAUGGCCGAAACAGGACUUCCUAUAUAUAAAUCUUUACCUUCGGACCAUUCCGGAACUCCUCGUGACGUCCGGGAUCUCAUCCGGGACUCCGAACAACAUUCGGUAACCACAUACAAGCUUCCUUUAUAACCCUAGCGUCAUCGAACCUUAAGUGUGUAGACCCUACGGGUUCGGGAGACAUGCAGACAUGACCGAGACGUUCUCCGGUCAAUAACCAACAGCGGGAUCUGGAUACCCAUGUUGGCUCCCACAUGUUCCACGAUGAUCUCAUCGGAUGAACCACGAUGUCAAGGACUCAAUCGAUCUCGUAUUCAAUUCCCUUUGUCUAUCGGUAUGUUACUUGCCCGAGAUUCGAUCGUCGGUAUACCGAUACCUUGUUCAAUCUCGUUACCGGCAAGUCACUUUACUCGUUCCGUAACACAUCAUCCCGUGAUCAACUCCUUGGUCACAUUGCGCAUAUGAUGAUGUCCUACCGAGUGGGCCCAGAGAUACCUCUCCGUUUACACGGAGUGACAAAUCCCAGUCUCGAUCCGCAUAAAACAAUAGAUACUUUCGGAGAUACCUGUAGUGCACCUUUAUAGUCACCCAGUUACGUUGUGACGUUUGAUACACCCAAAGCAUUCCUACGGUAUCCAGGAGUUACACGAUCUCAUGGUCAAAGGAAGAGAUACUUGACAUUGGCAAAGCUCUAGCAAAUGAACUACACGAUCUUUUAUGCUAGUCUUAGGAUUGGGUCUUGUCCAUCACAUCAUUCUCCUAAUGAUGUGAUCCCGUCAUCAACGACAUCCAAUGUCCAUAGCCAGGAAACCAUGACUAUCUGUUGAUCACAACGAGCUAGUCAACUAGAGGCUCACUAGGGACAUAUUGUGGUCUAUGUAUUCACACGUGUAUUACGAUUUCCGGAUAAUACAGUUAUAGCAUGAAUAAAAGACAAUUAUCAUGAACAAGGAAAUAUAAUAAUAAUACUUUUAUUAUUGCCUCUAGGGCAUAUUUCCAACAGUCUCCCACUUGCACUAGAGUCAAUAAUCUAGUUCACAUCGCCAUGUGAUUAACACUCACAGGUCACAUCGCCAUGUGACUAAUACCCAAGAGUUUACUAGAGUCAGUAGUCUAGUUCACAUCACUAUGUGAUCAACACUCAAUGAGUUUUAUGUUUGAUCAUGUUGCUUGUGAGAGAGGUUUUAGUCAACAGGUCUGAACCUUUCAGAUCCGUGUGUGCUUUACAAAUCUCUAUGUCAUCUCCUAGAUGCAGCUACCACGCUCUAUUUGGAGCUAUUCCAAACAACUGUUCUACUUGGAGCUAUUCUAAAUUAUUGCUCCAUUAUAUGUAUCCGGUCUCUCUACUCAGAGCUAUCUGGAUAGGUGUCAAGCUUGCAUCGUCGUAACCUUUACGACGAACUCUUUUACCACCUCCAUAAUCGAGAAAAUUCCUUAGUCCACUAGUUACUAAGGAUAACUUUGACCGCUGUCCUGUGAGCCAUUCUUGGAUCACUCUUGUACCCCUUGACUGACUCAUGGAAAGGCACACUUCAGGUGCGGUACACAGCAUAGCAUACUGAAGAGCCUACGUCUUAAGCAUAGGGGACGACCUUCGUCCUUUCUCUCUAUUCUGCCGUGGUCGAGCUUUAAGUCUUAACUUCGUACCUUACAACUCAGGCAAGAACUCCUUCUUUGACUGGUCCAUCUUGAACACCUUCAAGAUCAUGUUAAGUUAUGUGCUCAUUUGAAAGUAUUAUUAAGCAUUUUGAUCUAUCCUUAUAGAUCUUGAUGCUCAAUGUUCAAGUAGCUUAAUCCAGGCUUUCUAAUGAAAAACACUUUCAAAAAUAACCCUAUAUGCUUUCUAGAAAUUCUACAUCAUCUCUGAUCAUCAAUAUGUUAAGAACAUAUACUCAUCAGAAAUUCUAUAGUGCUCCCACUCACUUCUUUGGAAAUACAAGUUUCUUAUAAACUUUGUAUAAAUCCAAAAUCUUUGAUCAUCUCAUCAAAGCGUACAUUCCAACUCUGAGAUGCUUACUCCAGUCCUUAAAAGGAUCGCUGGAGCUAGCAUACCUUUUAGCAUCCUUAGGAUCGACAAAAACUUUCUGAUUGUAUUACAUACAACCUUUCCUCACGAAAACUGGUAAGGAAACUCGUUUUGACAUCCAUUUGCCAGAUUUCAUAAAUACAGCUAAUGCUAACAUGAAUCCGACGGACUUUAAGCAUCGCUACGAGUGAGAAAAUCUCAUCGUAGUCAACUCCUUGAACUUGUCGGAAAACACUUCGCCACAAGUCGAGCUUCAUAGAUGGUGACAUUACCAUCCACGUCCGUCUUCUUCUUAAAAGAUCCAUUUAUCUCAAUGGAUUGCCGAUCAUCGGGCAAGUCCAUCAAAGUCCAUGCUUUGUUCUGAUAUAUGGAUACUAUCUCGGAUUUCAUGGCUUCUAACCAUUUGUCGGAAUUCGGGCCCACCAUCGCUUCUCCAUAGCUCGUAGGUUCAUUGUUGUCUAGCAACAUGACCUUCAAGACAGGAUUACGUACCACUCUGAAGUAGUACGCAUCCUUGUCAUCCUACGAGGUUUGGGAGUGACUCGAUCCGAAGUUUCAUGAUCAAUAUCAUAAGCUUCCACUUCAAUUGGUGUAGGUGCCACAGGAACAACUCCCUGUGCCCUGCCACACACUAGUUGAAGAGACGGUUCAAUAACCUCAUCAAGUCUCCACCAUCCUCCCACUCAACUCUUUCGAGAGAAACCUUUCCUCGAGAAAGGACCCGAUUCAAGAAACAAUCCAUAUUGCUUUCGGAUCUGAAUUAGGAGGUAUACCCAACUGUUUUGGGUGUCCUAUGAAGAUGCAUUUUAUCCGCUUUGGGUUCGAGCUUAAUCCUGAAACUUUUUCACAUAAGCGUCGCAGCCCCAAACCUUUAAGAAACGACAACUUAGGUUUCUCUAAACCAUAAUUCAUACGGUGUCAUCUCAACGGAAUUACGUGGUGCCCUAUUUAAAGUGAAUGUGGUUGUCUCUAAUGCCUAACCCAUGAACAAUAGUGGUAAUUCGAUAAGAGACAUCAUGGUACGCACCAUAUCCAAUAGGGUGCAACUAUGAUGUUCGGACACACCAUCACACUAUGGUGUUCCAGGCGGUAUUAAUUGCGAAACAAUUUCCGCAAUGUCUUAAUUGUGUGCCAAAACUCGUAACUCAGAUAUUCAUCUCUAUGAUCAUAUCAUAGACAUUUUAUCCUCUUGUCACAAUGAUCUUCUAUUUCACUCUGAAAUUACUUGAACCAUUCAAUAAUUCAGACUUGUGUUUCAUCAAGUAAAUAUUCUCAACAUCUACUCGAAUCAUCUGUGAAGUAAGAUCAUAAUGAUAUUCACUGCAUGCCUCAGCACUCAUUGGAUUGGACACAUCAAAAUGUGUUACUUCCAACAAGUUGCUAUCUUGUUCCAUCUUACUGAAAACGAGGCUUUUCAGUCAUCUUGCCCAUGUGGUAUGAUUUGCAUAUCUCAAGUGAUUCAAAAUCAAGUGAGUUCAAACGGUCCAUUUGCAUCGAGUUUCUUCAUGCAUAUAUACCAAUAGACAUGGUUCGCAUGUCUCAAACCUUUUCAAAAAUGAGUGAGUCCAAAGAUCCAUCAACAUGGAGCUUCUUCAUGCGUUUUGUACCAUUAUGACUUACAUGGUAGUGCCACAAGUAAGUGGUACUAUCAUUACUAUCUUAUAUCUUUUGGCAUGAAAAUGUGUAUCACUACGAUCGAGAUUCAAUAAACCAUUCAGGUUUAAUACUAAUCUUGAUGGUAGAGGGAGCGUGCGAUGUUUGAUCACAUCAAACUUGGAAACACUUCCAACAUAUAUCAUCAGCUCACCUUUAGCUAGUCUUCGUUUAUUCCGUAGCUUUUAUUUCGAGUUACUAACACUUAGCAACCGAACCGGUAUCUAAUACCCUGGUGCUACUAGGAGUACUAGUAAAGUACACAUUAACACAAUGUAUAUCCAAUAUAUUUCUAUCGACCUUGCCAGCCUUCUCAUCUACCAAGUAUCUAGGGUAAUCCUGCUCCAGUGGUUGUUCCCCUUAUUACAGAAGCACUUAGUCUCGGGUUUGGGUUCAACCUCGGGUUUCUUCACUAGAGCAGCAGCUGAAUUGCCGUUUCAUGAAGUAUCCCUUCUUGCCCUUGCCCUUCUUGAAACUAGUGGUCUCACUGACCAUCAACAAUUGAUGCUCCUUCUUGAUUUCUACUUUCGCGGUGUCAAACAUCACGAAUGUUUCAAGGAUCAUCAUAUCUAUCCCUGAUAUGUUAUAGUUCAUCACGAAACUCUAGCAACUUGGUGGCAAUGACUUUGGGGAAACAUCACUAUCUCAUCUGGAAGAUCAACUCCCACUCGAUUCAAGUGAUUGUUGCACUCAGACAAUCUGAGCACAAGCUCAACGAUUGAGCUUUUAUCCCUUAGUUUGCAGGCUAAGAAAACCGUCGGAGGUCUCAUACCUCUUGACGUGGGCACGAGCCUGAAAUCCCAAUUUCAGCCCUCGAAACAUCUCAUAUGUUCCGUGACGUUUCGAAAACGUCUUUGGUGCCUCUACUUAAACCAUUUAACUGAACUAUCACGUAGUUAUCAAAACGUGUAUGUCCGAUGUUCGCAACAUCGACAAACGACGUUGGGGUUCAGCACACUGAGCGGUGCAUUAAGGACAUAAGCUUUCUACUGAUCGCAUAAUCGCUACUAUCAACUUUCAACUAUAAUUUUCUCUAGGAACAUAUCUAAACAGUGGAACUAAAGCGCGAGCUUACGACAUAAUUUGCAAAAGGUCUUUUGACUAUGUUCAGGAUAAUUAAGUUCAUCUUAUGAACUCCCACUUAGAUAGACAUCCCUCUGGUCAUCUAAGUGAUCACAUGAUCCGAGUCAACUAGGCCGUGUCCGAUCAUCACGUGAGACGGACUAGUCAUCAUCGGUGAACAUCUUCAUGUUGAUCGUAUCUACCAUACGACUCAUGCUCGACCUUUCGGUCUCCGUGUUCCGAGGCCAUGUCUGCACAUGCUAGGCUCGUCAAGUUAACCCUAAGUGUUUUCGCUGUGUAAAACUGUCUUACACCCGUUGUAUGUGAACGUAAGAAUCCAUCACACCCGAUCAUCACGUGGUGCUUAGAAGCGACGAACUGUAGCAACGAUGCACAGUUAGGGGAGAACACUUCUUGAAAUUUUGUAAGGGAUCAUCUUAUUUACUACCGUCGUCCUAAGCAAACAAGAUGCAUAAACAUGAUAAACAUCACAUGCAAUCAAAUAGUGACAUGAUAUGGCCAAUAUCAUUUUGCUCCUUUUGAUCUUCAUCUUCGGGGCUCCAUGAUCAUCAUCGUCACCGGCACGACACCAUGAUCUCCAUCAUCAUGAUCUCCAUCAUCGUGUCUUCAUGAAGUUGUCACGCCAACGACUACUUCUACUUCUAUGACUAACGCGUUUAGCAAUAAAGUAAAGUAGUUUACAUGGCGUUCUUCAAUGACACACAGGUCAUACAAUAAAUAAAGACAACUCCUAUGGCUCCUGCCGGUUGUCAUACUCAUCGACAUGCAAGUCGUGAAUCCUAUUACAAGAACAUGAUCAAUCUCAUACAUCACAUAUCAUUCAUCACAUUCUUCUUGGCCAUAUCACAUCACAUAACAUACCCUGCAAAAACAAGUUAGACGUCCUCUAAUUGUUGUUGCAUGUUUUACGUGGCUGCUAUGGGUUUCUAGCAAGAACGUUUCUUACCUACGCAAGACCACAACGUGAUAUGCCAAUUGCUAUUUACCCUUCAUAAGGACCCUUUUCAUCGAAUCCGUUCCGACUAAAGUGGGAGAGACUGGCACCCGCUAGCCACCUUAUGCACCAAGUGCAUGUCAAUCGGUGGAACCUGUCUCACGUAAGAGUACGUGUAAGGUCGGUCCGGGCCGCUUCAUCCCACAAUACCGUCGAAACAAGAUUGGACUAGUAACGGUAAGCAUAUUGAACAACAUCAACGCCCACAACUACUUUGUGUUCUACUCGUGCAAAGAAUCUACGCAAUAGACCUAGCUCAUGAUGCCACUUUUGGGGAACGUAGCAGAAAUUCAAAAUUUUCCUACGUAACACCAAGAUCUAUCUAUGGAGAGACCAGCAACGAGUAGAAAGGGGAGUGCAUCUACAUACCCUUGUAGAUCGCUAAGCGGAAGCGUUCAAGUGAACGGGGUUGAUGGAGUCGUACUCGUCGUGAUUCAGAUCACCGAUGAUCCUAGUGCCGAACGGACGGCACCUCCGCGUUCAACACACGUACAGCUCGACGAUGUCUCCCACGCCUUGAUCCAGCAAGGAGAGAGGGAGAGGUUGAGGAAGACUCCAUCCAGCAGCAGCACAACGGCGUGGUGGUGAUGGAGGAGCGUGGCAAUCCUGCAGGGCUUCGCCAAGCACCUACGGGAGAGGAGGAGGUGUCACGGGAGGGAGGGAGGCGCCAAGGGCUCAGGUAUGGAUGCCCUUAACUUCGUACCUUACAACUCAGGCAAGAACUCCUUUUUUGACUGAUCCAUCUUGAACACCUUCAAGAUCACGUCAAGGCAUGUGCUCAUUUGAAAGUACCAUUAAGCGUUUUGAUCUAUCCUUAUAGAUCUUGAUGCUCAAUGUUCAAGUAGCUUAAUCCAGGUUUUCCAUUGAAAACACUUUCCAAAUAACCCUAUAUGCUUUCCAGAAAUUCUACGUCAUUUCUGAUCAUUAAUAUGUCAACAACAUAUACUCAUCAGAAAUUCUAUAGUGCUCCCACUCACUUCUUUGGAAAUACAAGUUUCUCAUAAACUUUGUAUACACCCUAAAUCUUUGAUCAUCAUCAAAGCAUACAUUCCAACUCCGAGAUGCUCACUCCAGUCCUCAGAAGGAUUGCUGGAGCUUUGCAUACUUAUUAGCAUAUUUCAGGAUAGACAAAACCUUCCGGUUGUAUCACAUACAACCUUUCCUCAAGAAUCGUCGAGGAAACAAUGUUUUGACAUCCUAUCUGCAAGAUUUCAUAAAUAAUGCAGUAAUUGCUAAUAUAAUUCCAACAUACUCUUAGCAUCGCUACGAGUGAGAAAGUCUCAUCGUAGUCAACUCCUUGAACUUGUCGAAAAACAUCUCAACGACAAGUCGACCUUUCUCAAUGGUGACACUUACCAUCAUUGUCUGUCUUCCUUUCAAAAUCCAUAUGUACCUAACAGCCUUAUGACCAUCAAGUAGUUCUUCCAAAGUCUACACUUUGUUUUCAUACAUGGAUCCUCUCUCGGGUUUUAUGGCCUUGAGCCAUUUAUCGGAAUCCAGGCCCACCAUCGCUUCUCCAUAGCUCGUAGGUUCAUUGUUGUCUAGCAACAUGACUUCCAAGACAGGAUUACUGUACCACUCUGAAGUAGUACGUAUCCUUGUCACCCUACGAGGUUUGGGAGUGACUUGAUCUGAAGUUUCAUGAUCACUAUCAUAAGCUUCUACUUCAAUUGGUGUAGGUGCCACAGGAACAACUUCCUGUGCCCUGCUACACACUGGUUGAAGUGAUGGUUCAGUAACCUCAUCAAGUCUCCACCAUCCUCCCACUCAAUUCUUUCGAGAGAAACCUUUCCUCGAGAAAGGACCCAAUUCUAGAAACAAUUCAUAUUGCCUUCGGAUCUGAAUUAGGAGGUAUACCCAACUGUUUUGGGUGUCCUAUGAAGAUGUACUUUAUCCGCUUUGGGUUCGAGCUUAAUCCUGAAACUUUUUCACAUAAGCGUCGCAGCCCCAAACCUUUAAGAAAUGACAACUUAGGUUUCUCUAAACCAUAAUUCAUACGGUGUCAUCUCAUCGGAAUUACGUGGUGCCCUAUUUAAAGUGAAUGUGGUUGUCUUUAAUGCCUAACCCAUAAACUAUCCUGGCAGUUCGAUAAGAGACAUCAUGGUAUGCAUCAUAUCCAAUAGGGUGCAACUAUGAUGUUCGGACACACCAUCACACUAUGGUGUUCCAGGCGGUAUUAAUUGUGAAACAAUUUCCACAAUGUCUUAAUUGUGUGCCAAAACUCGUAACUCAGAUACUCAUCUCUAUGAUCAUAUCAUAGACAUUUUAUCCUCUUGUCACAAUCUUCUACUUCACUCUGAAAUUACUUGAACCAUUCAAUAAUUCAGACUUGUGUUUCAUCAAGUAAAUAUUCUCAACAUCUACUCGAAUCAUCUGUGAAGUAAGAACAUAACGAUAUUCACUGCAUGCCUCAGCACUCAUUGGACUGCACGCAUCAAAAUGUGUUGCUUCCAACAAGUUGCUAUCUUGUUACAUCUUACUGAAAACGAGGCUUUUCAGUCAUCUUGCCCAUGUGGUAUGAUUUGCAUGUCCCAAGUGAUUCAAAAUCAAGUGAGUCAAAACGGUCCAUUUGCAUGGAGUUUCUUCAUGCAUAUACACCAAUAGACAUGGUUCGCAUGUCUCAAACUUUUCAAAAACGAGUGAGCCCAAAGAUCCAUCAAUAUGGAGCUUCUUCAUGCGUUUUAUACCGAUAUGACUUACGUGGCAGUGCCACAAGUAGGUGGUUCUAUCAUUACUAUCUUUUGGCAUGAACAUGUGUAUCACUACGAUCGAGAUUUAAUAAACCAUUCAUUUUAGGUGUAAGACCAUUGAAGGUAUUAUUCAAAUAAACAGAGUAACGAUUAUUCUCCUUAAAUGAAUAACCGUAUUGCGAUAGACGUAAUCCAAUCAUGUCUAUGCUCAACGCAAACACCAAACAACAAUUAUUUAGGUUUAACACCAAUCUCUUUGGUAGAGGGAGCGUGCGAUGCUUGAUCAUAUGAAGCUUGGAAAAACUUCCAACACAUAUCGUCAGCUCACCUUUAGCUAGUCUCCGUUUAUUCCGUAGCCUUUUGUUUCGAGUUACUAACACUUAGCAACCGAACCGGUAUCUAAUACCCUGGUGCUACUAGGAGUACUAGCAAAGUACACAUUAACACAAUGUAUAUCCAAUAUACUUCUAUCGACCUUGCCAGCCUUCUUAUCUACCAAGUAUCUAGGGUAAUUCUGCUCUAGUGGUUGUUCCCCUUAUUACAGAAGCACUUAGUCUCGGGUUUGGGUUUUACCUUGGGUUUCUUCACUAGAGCAGCAGCUGAUUUGCCGUUUCAUGAAGUAUCCCUUCUUGCCCUUGCCCUUCUUGAAACUAGUGGUUUCACCAACCAUCAACAAUUGAUGCUCCUUCUUGAUUUCUACUUUCGCGGUGUCAAACAUCGCGAAUACCUCAAGGAUCAUCAUAUCUAUCCCUGAUAUGUUAUAGUUCAUCACGAAGCUCUAACAGCUUGGUGGCAAUGACUUUGGAGAACCAUCACUGUUUCAUCUGGAAGAUCAACUCCCACUCGAUUCAAAUGAUUGUUGUACUCAGACAAUCUGAGCACAAGCUCAACAAUUGAGCUUUUCUCCUUAGUUUGCAGGUUAAGAAAGUCAUCGGAGGUCUUAUACCUCUUGACAUGGGCACGAGCCUGAAAUCCCAAUUUCAGCCCUCAAAACAUCUCAUAUGUUUCGCGAUGUUUCAAAAACGUCUUUGGUGCCUCAACUCUAAACCGUUUAACUGAACUAUCACGUAGUUAUCAAAACGUGUAUGUCAGAUGUUCGCAACAACCACAGACAACGUUCGAGGUUCAGCACACUGAGCGGUGCAUUAAGGACAUAAGCCUUCUAUGAAGCAAUGAGGACAAUCCUCAGUUUACGGACCUAGUCCGCAUAAUUGCUACUAUCAACUUUCAACUAAUUUUUCUCUAGGAACAUAUCUAAACAGUAGAACUAUAGCGUGAGCUACGACAUAAUUUGCAAAAACCUUUUGACUAUGUUCAGGAUAAUUAAGUUCAUCUUAUGAACUCCCACUUAGAUAGACAUCCCUCUGGUCAUCUAAGUGAUCACAUGAUCCGAGUCAACUAGGCCGUGUCCGAUCAUCACGUGAGACGGACUAGUCAUCAUCGGUGAACAUCUUCAUGUUGAUCGUAUCUACUAUACGACUCAUGCUCGACCUUUCGGUCUCCGUGUUCCGAGGCCAUGUCUGCACAUGCUAGGCUCGUCAAGUUAACCCUAAGUGUUUUCGCUGUGUAAAACUGUCUUACACCCGUUGUAUGUGAACGUAAGAAUCCAUCACACCCGAUCAUCACGUGGUGCUUAGAAGCGACGAACUGUAGCAACGGUGCACAGUUAGGGGAGAACACUUCUUGAAAUUUUGUAAGGGAUCAUCUUAUUCACUACCGUCGUCCUAAGUAAACAAGAUGCAUAAACAUGAUAAACAUCACAUGCAAUCAAAUAGAGUAGUGACAUGAUAUGGCCAAUAUCAUAUAGCUCCUUUGAUCUUCAUCUUCGGGGCUCCAUGAUCAUCUUGUCACCGGCUUGACACCAUGAUCUCCAUCAUCAUGAUCUCCAUCAUCGUGUCUUCAUGAAGUUGUCACGCCAACGACUACUUCUACUUCUAUGACUAACGCGUUUAGCAAUAAAGUAAAGUAGUUUACAUGGCGUUCUUCAAUGACACGCAGGUCAUACAAUAAAUAAAGACAACUCCUAUGGCUCCUGCCGGUUGUCAUACUCAUCGACAUGCAAGUCGUGAAUCCUAUUACAAGAACAUGAUCAAUCUCAUACAUCACAUAUCAUUCAUCACAUUCUUCUUGGCCAUAUCACAUCACAUAGCAUAACCUGCAAAAACAAGUUAGACGUCCUCUAAUUGUUGUUGCAUGUUUUACGUGGCUGCUAUGGGUUUCUAGCAAGAACGUUUCUUACCUACGCAAGACCACAACGUGAUAUGCCAAUUGCUAUUUACCCUUCAUAAGGACCCUUUUCAUCGAAUCCGUUCCGACUAAAGUGGGAUAGACUGGCACCCGCUAGCCACCUUAUGCACCAAGUGCAUGUCAAUCGGUGGAACCUGUCUCACGUAAGAGUACGUGUAAGGUCGGUCCGGGCCGCUUCAUCCCACAAUACCGUCGAAACAAGAUUGGACUAGUAACGGUAAGCAUAUUGAACAACAUCAACGCCCACAACUACUUUGUGUUCUACUCGUGCAAAGAAUCUACGCAAUAGACCUAGCUCAUGAUGCCACUGUUGGGGAACGUAGCAGAAAUUCAAAAUUUUCCUACGUGUCACCAAGAUCUAUCUAUGGAGAGACCAGCAACGAGUAGAAGGAGAGUGCAUCUACAUACCCUUGUAGAUCGCUAAGCGGAAGCGUUCAAGUGAACGGGGUUGAUGGAGUCGUACUCGUCGUGAUUCAAAUCACCGAUGACCAAGUGCCGAACGGACGGCACCUCCGCGUUCAACACACGUACAGCCCGGUGACGUCUCCCACGCCUUGAUCCAGCAAGGAGAGAGGGAGAGGUUGAGGAAGACUCCAUCCAACAGCAGCACAACGGCGUGGUGGUGGUGGAGGAGCGUGGCAAUCCCGCAGGACUUCGCCAAGCACCAUGGGAGAAGAGGAGGAGGGAGAGGGGCAGGGCUGCACCAACGAGAGAUCAAAUCGCGUAUUAUGGGCAGCCCCAUGCCUCAAUAUAUAUAGGGGGGAAGGGGGCUGCGCCCCCUUUAGGGUUUUCCCACCCCCUAGGGGCGGCGGCCAGCCCUAGAUGGGUUUUGGGGUGCGGCCAAGAGGGGGGGGAGGAGUCCAUCCUCCCCAAGGCACCUCGGAGGUGCCUUCCCCCUUGAGGACUCUUCCCUCUAGGGUUCCCUAGGCGCAUGGGCCUCUUGGGGCUGGUGCCCUUGGCCCAUGUAGGCCAAGGCGCACCCCCUACAGCCCAUGUGGCCCCCGGGGCAGGUGGCCCCACCCGGUGGGCCCCCGGGACCCUUCCGGUGGUCCCGGUACAAUACCGAUGACCCCGAAACUUGUCCCGAUGGCCGAAACAGGACUUCCUAUAUAUAAAUCUUUACCUUCGGACCAUUCCGGAACUCCUCGUGACAUCCGGGAUCUCAUCCGGGACUCCGAACAACAUUCGGUAACCACAUACAAGCUUCCUUUAUAACCCUAGCGUCAUCGAACCUUAAGUGUGUAGACCCUACGGGUUCGGGAGACAUGCAGACAUGACCGAGACGUUCUCCGGUCAAUAACCAACAGCGGGAUCUGGAUACCCAUGUUGGCUCCCACAUGUUCCACGAUGAUCUCAUCGGAUGAACCACGAUGUCAAGGACUCAAUCGAUCCCGUAUUCAAUUCCCUUUGUCUAUCGGUAUGUUACUUGCCCGAGAUUCGAUCGUCGGUAUACCGAUACCUUGUUCAAUCUCGUUAUCGGCAAGUCACUUUACUCGUUCCGUAACACAUCAUCCCGUGAUCAACUCCUUGGUCACAUUGCGCAUAUGAUGAUGUCCUACCGAGUGGGCCCAGAGAUACCUCUCCGUUUACACGGAGUGACAAAUCCCAGUCUCGAUCCGCAUAAAACAAUAGAUACUUUCGGAGAUACCUGUAGUGCACCUUUAUAGUCACCCAGUUACGUUGUGAUGUUUGAUACACCCAAAGCACUCCUACGGUAUCCAGGAGUUACACGAUCUCAUGGUCAAAGGAAGAGAUACUUGACAUUGGCAAAGCUCUAGCAAAUGAACUACACGAUCUUUUAUGCUAGUCUUAGGAUUGGGUCUUGUCCAUCACAUCAUUCUCCUAAUGAUGUGAUCCUGUCAUCAACGACAUCCAAUGUCCAUAGCCAGGAAACCAUGACUAUCUGUUGAUCACAACGAGCUAGUCAACUAGAGGCUCACUAGGGACAUAUUGUGGUCUAUGUAUUCACACGUGUAUUACGAUUUCCGGAUAAUACAGUUAUAGCAUGAAUAAAAGACAAUUAUCAUGAACAAGGAAAUAUAAUAAUAAUAUUUUUAUUAUUGUCUCUAGGGCAUAUUUCCAACAUCUACAACCAGUACAUGGAGGACGUGAUCUUCGAGGGUGGGCAUGGCCGUGCCUACGACCCCGAGGAGACCCAAAGUCAGGAUGGUCGUGCCCAGUACGUGCCCAAUGAAGAGGCCGACGACCGUGCUGACUACGACCAUGGUGACUCGUGGCAUGAGGAUGAUGACAUCUAUGUCGAAGGUGAUGGUGAUGAAGAAGAAGGCAAUGACGUUGAUAUUAGUGGCGAGCCAUUGUUCAUCGACGAGCUCACCCAAAGAGCGGAAGCACAAAAGAAGAGAAAGAGCAUUCGCACGGGUUCAUACACACAAGAUAAAGACAAGUUGAUUUGCCAAGCUUGGAUGGAGAUUAGCCAAGAUUCGAGGACCGGCGCGCAACAAAAGGGCAUUAUUUUUUGGACGAGAGUCCACAAAACAUUCAAUGAAAGGAAGAUGUUCGAGCCCUACCAAAUUACAAGCAACCGUGGCAUCGGCUCGAUUCAAAAGAGAUGAUUGUUCAUCCAAUAAGAGUGCAACAAGUAUCAAGCCGCAUUUGAGAGCGUUCAAGCACGACCCGUGAGUGGUCUCGGCGUUGGGGACACGGUAUGCUCUCCUCUUCCUAGCCCUUUCCUUACUACGGCCAUGAGACUUCGGCCUUGUAUAUGUUUGCAUGUUCACUUCUUUUUGAUCAUGUGUUGUAGGUAUUUCAAUCUUUGAAGGCAUUCAAGGCCCGGCACAAUGACAAGCCAUUCACUCUUACGCAUUGUUGGACGCUCAUCAACAAUUAUCCUAAGUUCAAGGGCCAAUACCGUGAACUACAAAGGAAGAGAGGACUGAAGACGGCCAAGUUCGUCGGAGGUAGAGAUGGCGAGGCGUUGAAGAGGCCGAGGGGCAAGACCAACUCCAAGGUUGAUGACAUACGUGAUGCCUCAUCCAUGGCAUUGCAUGACACUUUGCAUGGCAUGAUGUCUCAAAAGGAUGUGAGGAACAAGAAGAAGCGGCAAAGCAAGGACGAGCAAAUGAAGCAAUACCUAGACCUUCAAAGAAAGAAGCUUGAGAUGGAGGAGGCGACCAAGAAGAGGAAGAUCGACAUGGAGGAGGCGGCCCGGCAAAGGCAGCUCGACAUGGAAGAGGCCGCCCGGCAAAGGCAUCUCGACAUCGAGGCCGACAACGUCAAGGCCAGGCAGAGGCAGCUCGACAUCGAGGCCACCAAUGCCGCCACCAAAGCGAAGGAGGUGGCCCUUACGAUCAUGAGCGUGGACUUGUCGAAAAUGAGCGACAAGACGAGGGCCUGGUUCGAGGCCAGGCAAAAGGAGAUGCUCGACGCCGAAGGCCUGAACUAGGUCGUCCGAUCGGCGUGGCCGUUCUUUUUGGAGGCUGGCAUGGGUGUCGCUCGCCCGCUGGGCCGCUGACAGUGUGCCGACGAGAAAACAUUCAUUUUGGAGGCCGACUAUGUUGCCGGCCGCUGGCUGUGUUGCCGGCGAGGACAACUAUUCAUUUUGGAGGCUGGCUGUGUUGCCGGCCGCUGGCGAUGGACGUGUAGGCCGCUGGCUUUGUUGCCGGCGUGAUGAACUGGGGCCGUGAACUAGGGCUUGACAUUUGAAACGUUGCUCUUUUUUUAAAUAGACGCGGACAGGACGGGGCAAACGGAUGCGGCCGCGCGCUGGGCGCACGGCCACCGCAUCUCAGGACACGCCCGGACACGACCCCAAAUCUCUACUCAAACGGACAUAAUUCGGAAAAAACGGACGUCCGUUUGAGGUCGCGUGGUAAAGUUGGCCUCACACUCCUCUCUCGCUGCUCCUUCACUCUCGCGCCCUCUCACCUCUGCGCCGCCGCCAACGCCGCUUACCCUCGCCGUCGACACACAAUGCCUUCUUGAAAAGACAAGGACGAGAUAGCGAGAGAAUCUUGUAGGUGCUGACUAGUUAGUAGUUAACUGAAUUUACUUUUUUUACUAAAUCUUCUAGGUGUUUAGCAGUUAACUAGUUAACUAACUUUCACUUUUAACCGAAUCUUGUAGUGCUGACUAGCUAACUCGUUAACUAAAUUUUGGUUUUAACGGAAUCUUGUAGGUGUUCAGUGACUUUUGGUUUUAACUGAAUCUUGCAGGUGUUCACUAGCUAACUAGUUAACUGACUUUUUGGUUUUAACUGAAUCUUGCAGAACCCCACAAAAAAAAACUGAAUCUUGCAGGUGUUCACUAGCUAACUAGUUAACUGACUUUUGGUUUUAACCAAAUCUUGUAGGUGUUCACUAGUUAACUCACUUUUGUUUUUUAUCAAAACUUGUAGGUGUUCACUAUUCAACUAGUAAAUUGACCUUUUGUUUUAACUGAACCUUAUAGGUGUUCACUAGUUAGCUAUUUAACUGAUUUUUUUAGUCAAAUCUUGUAGGUGUUCACUAGUUAACUAGUUAAUCAAAGUUUUGUUUUAAUUGAGUUUAGUUUAACUAGUGAACUGAAUUUAUGUGCUUGACAAAAUUUUGAACAUGUUUCAUGAGCAAAACUAUGAAAGGGUGAUGGAUAGACAGACUUAUGACAAAGAGAUUGCCAAGCAUAAGAAGCAGAAUGAUGUGAGCUCGAGCUCAUAAGAAGCAGAUUGACAUGUUUCAUGGGCAAUUGCCAGUGCAUAGAGUUUGUGAGCUCGAGCUCACGUGCACCCUUUGCUACAUUAAAUUUCAAAAUACAUAAAGAAAAUUUAAAAAUGAUUUGUUCGUUCAUUCACUUCGAUCCGUAAGUAGUUCAUAUUAAAAUAUUCAAAACAUUUUGUAUUUGUAAAUGAAGGGAGUACUUGAGUUCGACAUCGUUUGUGCUCAGAUUCUUUUGCAUGGUUCAUAAAAAACAUAUGCAUGCAUGGUUUAGAUUCAACUAUACUCCUUGUGUGCUUCAGUUUGGGUAGUUCUGUAAAGCACCAGAUACAUUCCUUCACUCACCAUGUGCCUUGGUUGAUGAGAUUUCAGAUUUGAACUCUAUAAACCGGAAAGGAGGGGUAUGUCCUCUUGCUGCGAAGUAAGCAUAGUUUAGAUGGUUAGACUCUUUGUUGCGCAUGCAUAUUUUUAGGAUUUUUUUUUCAGAUUCUAUGGCACUACUCUUUUUGUGGUGUACGGUGUGCCCGUCGAUUAUGAGGCGCUCUUUUACAAAAAAGGACUAUACGCGUCAUCUUCCUUGUUAGACCAACUAAAACAUGUAAGAACAUGGUGAUAAAUUAACUUCUUCAGACUGACAGUUAGAACUGCGUUUACCUUUUUUUCCAGCUAGGAACGCGCUUACUUGGACAGAUAGAUAUCCCCUUCAUUUAUUUAUUCGGGAUCAGCUCAUCACCAACACUAGUAGCUAUUCAAAUCCAGACCUAGAAAUUAGGAAAGUGGACGAGUCAAAUAUGACAUGCCUGGUUCAGGUUCAACUGUAUAAUCUUUAUAAGCUUGUUAGACCAGCUAGAAACUUCUACAUCCAACAAUUAUGAAUAAGAUUAAGAACACUAACGACUUUUGAGACAGAGACACAUACAUUUGGCCGGUGUGCUUACUUAGCUACAAAUCUCUAAUAAUCAGCACUACAGAUGUAGUACCAGAUAAUCGGUAGCAAAAGCCCCGUGAAGAGCUACAAAAGUCCAUAGACCGCCUAAUUGACACCAACGACUAAAAUCUCCUUGUGCUUCGGGCCCCCAUAGUAGCAACAAAGAGUGUGCUAAACUAUUGGCAGGGGUAGAAACUGUUGCGGUUAAGAAAUUACAACCUUCCAAAUAGAAACUAGCCAAUCCAUGGGUAUACCAAGAAGUUAUAAAAGUUGUCUCUGUAAACCAACCCCCUAAAGCGAAAUAAGCACAAGGAAAGAGCAAUAGGCCAGACCAUCCUAUCCACAACUACCAUUUGGGCGAGUCAAAGUUGACAUAUAUAUGCAUGGUUCAGGUUCAACUAUAUGUUGUUUUGCUUGUUAGACCAGCUAAAACAGAUAAAACAUGAUGAUAAAACAUGAUUAACUUCUUCAGGCAGACUGUUAAGAGCGCGCUUACUUUUCAUUUCCCGGUAGGAACACGCUUACUAGGAUAGAUACAUACACUGUCUUCAUGUUCUAAUAUUCAUAUUUUUGUUUCCACAAAGACUUAGACACAUACACUUGUCUAUACUCUUGGUUCGGCGUGCUUACUUGGCUAUAAAUAACUUCUCUCUGUUUUAACAUCUCCUGUUUCAUUACCGCAAGGAACUCCAAAUUUCCGAUCAUCAUAUCUAAACACGAGAAGCCGAGCGCCUGGGGACGAAAACCAUGACUAUUCUCUCCAAGGAUGCACCUGCGGAGAUCUCCCACCCCGCCCACCCGGAGCACAAGCUGAAGCUGACGGCCGCCGGCGCGGCGGAGUUCCAGUGCGACGUCUGCAAGGAGCUAGGCGCCGGGGACCGGUACACGUGCCGGCCCUGUGACUUCGACCUCCACAGCGACUGCGCCCUCGCAGAGGCCACGCUGGCGCACCCAUUGCUCAAGGGCAGAGAGCUCCAGCUCCGCUACGGCGACGACGGCGGCAGGACAUGUGGCGCCUGCGGCGGGAAGGUACUCGGGCUGCACUACCACUGCGCCGCCAAGAAGGGCAUGGACCUCCACCCGUGCUGCGCGGCGCUGCCGCUGGCGAUCCCCCAGGAGGAGCUCACGCUCGAGCUCCGGAAGGAGGCGUCUCACCGGUGCAGCAGCUGCCGGGAGAGAGGCAGGGGCAGGACCUGGUUCUACCGCUCCACCUGCAAGACCGUGUACCUGCACGUCGCCUGCGUCAGAGAGAUCGCUCGCCGGAGCCGUGCCGCCGGCGACGGCUCGAGCACCGAUCCGUUCGCUUCCGUCAAGGAUGCGGCGCUGCAGAUCUACCGCGCAAAGAGGGACGAGAGUGAGUUGGAGCGCGUCAUUCUCGAGCUGGUUCUUGGAGGUUGAUGCCGCAAAGCUUUUCUCCCAAAGGAAGAUUUGCAGGUUGAUUACACAAUUUGCUAAUGAGCCAACGGGACUAUUCCGUAGUAUGUACUGCCUAAACCGCGUGUGUAUUUUAUGGACUUUUACGAUUAUUUCACAGGUCUUAGAUUUUCUUUCUUCCAUGUAAGAAGAACAUUGUCACGUACGUGUAAAUAUAUAGCAAAAAGUCUAUGGUAUAGAGUUCCAAGAGAUGCGUAUUGCCGAUGUACAUUGACUAUUCGCUGCUACGUUGAGACUCUGGGGCCUGCCUGAGCAGAAAAAUUUGAAGAUCACUAGACCACUAGACCAACGUACAACAUAAAGCGGGGAUAGCUCAGUUGGGAGAGCGUCAGACUGAAGAUCUGAAGGUCGCGUGUUCGAUCCACGCUCACCGCACAAUAUUCUUUUUUUACCUCCGUAAUCUCGGUAUUGUUGAAGACAAAGGUGGUUUACAUCACAAGUUGUCAAAGUAAAUAUCACUUGUUUCGAUCCGUGCUCACAUGUUGCUUCUGCUAACAAUGAUUCUUCCACUUUAAUCUCCUAUGCUCAAAUAUCAUGUUGCACAUGUAUUCAAAUAUUUGCAAACACUUCAAUCUCUAAAAAAGAGAGUGCUACAGUUUUGUGCGAGUCCUUUUGUAACAUAUCCNNNNNNNNNNNNNNNNNNNNNNNNNNNNNNNNNNNNNNNNNNNNNNNNNNNNNNNNNNNNNNNNNNNNNNNNNNNNNNNNNNNNNNNNNNNNNNNNNNNNNNNNNNNNNNNNNNNNNNNNNNNNNNNNNNNNNNNNNNNNNNNNNNNNNNNNNNNNNNNNNNNNNNNNNNNNNNNNNNNNNNNNNNNNNNNNNNNNNNNNNNNNNNNNNNNNNNNNNNNNNNNNNNNNNNNNNNNNNNNNNNNNNNNNNNNNNNNNNNNNNNNNNNNNNNNNNNNNNNNNNNCCCAAUGGUGUGGUUCUCUCAGCUGCGGGAUCUGUGCCCUCCAAUGGAGGGUUUGAUAUUCAUAAGAUAUCCAUGCAGUUUUCCAAUAUCGACAUGCCAGACUACUAGAAAAUCGCUAACAAGCUUGCGAUGCACGGCACCCCAUCCAUAGGACAACUCCCCUCCCAGAUGACAGACACCGCAAGAAUCCUCAAUUUCCACAAGCACACACGUUAAGAGACCCGCUUCGGUACACCCCCCUCACGGAGCUUAUAAAGGGCAAUGUAGACAUUUGAUAAAUCAUAUCCAUUUUUGUACGUAUGAUGGAUCGCUCGUAUACGCCGUACGUUCGGAGGACCUCCUUUAUGCCGCAAUACGAAAUAGGCACAACUAACCUAGGCCAGCCCAUUUGCGCUGGAAAAUCAACAAAAAUAACGCCCUAGAUGGGAAUCAAACUCGCGACCAGGGCUAUAAUGGCUCUCAUUGCUGGCCACUUCGGCUCGCUGCCUCAAAUGCUGAAUUGCAGUGCCAACCUUCAAGAAAAUAACAAAAGCAGCAACACUUAAACACCAAUUCACAAAUACUAAACAGGGUAAGAGGAUCUAACACGCAAACUCAUAGAGUGCAUAACGUCACUAGCCCCUAAAUUUUUUUUUCAAAAAAAAUCGUAUGUGAAUUUCUUUUUGACAAAGUAAAUGUUUUUGAAACCCGAAAUUUUUCAAAAUUUGUGAACAUAUUUUUAAAAACUCAAACUUUUUGUGAACAAUGUUUCACAAUCUCAAACUUUUUUAAAAAUAGGAGCAAAAUUGAAAACGAGAAUAUUUUUCGAAACUACAAAUAUUUUUCUAAAAAUACAAACAUUUUCUGAAAACAGGAACAAAACUAAAAACACAGACAUCCUCUCAAACUACGAACAAUUUUUCAAAACGCGAACAUCUUAUGAAUUCCUCGAAAUGUUUGUGUUUUCAAAAUUUCUCAUAAUUUCAAGACACAAAAAUUUUAAAAAGAGCAAACAUAAUUUUGAACAUGAACAUUUUUAUUUUUUUACAUUUUAUGAAAACACUAAAAAAUUUGGAAUUUCAAAAUAUUUCAGAAAAAUACGAAAAAAAUAUGGAAUUUUUUUUUGAAUUUGCUCGAAUUUUUUUGUAUUCGUGUAGAAAAUAUCACCAUGUUCAACAUAGGGUGUCCGGGUAGGUGAGAAGGCUCCAUCUGAGAGCAUGUUGUUUCUCGACAUCCGUCGAACGACCCUAAUUUUUUUCAUUGGCUUGUAUGAACAAUUCAAGGCAGCAUGCCAAGGUUUUUUGGUUUUCUACAAAUUUUACGGUUUCUGGAGUUUUCUUGGUCAAAAAAGGGCGAUAAAUUACCGGACGUGUUGCAACUUGCAUAUGGUGUCGAAAAAUUGUUCAAACAUGGCAUGGAUUCCUACCAUGGGCAUGCCCAGCUGGUUGCAAAGUUGGGUCAUUUCAAGUGUAUCCAAAAAUAGACCAUGUUCAAAGCACGUUGUUUCUCGACAUCCUUGAAAUGGCCCCGAUUUUGCCCAUGGCCUUGUAUGACCAAUUUAAGGCACCAUGCCAAGUUGUUUUGGUUUACAAUAAAUUUUGCAUUUUCUAAAGUUUUCUCGGUAAAAAAAUCCAAUAACUACUCGGGCAUGUUGCAACUUGCAUACAAUGUCAAAAAUCGUUCAAUCGUGACAUAGAUGCCUACCAUGUGCAUGCCCACCCACUUGCAAAAGUUAGGUCAUUCGAAGGAUGUCUAAAAAUAGACUUGUUCAACAGAUGUUGUUUGGGUCUAAAAGUAGGAUUCAAACCUGGCAUCCUUCGACCUGUCUAAAAGUGUUGGGGAACGUAGCAGAAAUUCAAAAUUUUCCUACGCAUCACCAAGAUCUAUCUAUGGAGAAACCAGCUACGAGUAGAAGGAGAGUGCAUCUACAUACCCUUGUAGAUCGCUAAGCGGAAGCGUUCAAGUGAACGGGGUUGAUGGAGUCGUACUCGUCGUGAUUCAAAUCACCGAUGAUCAAGUACCGAACGCACGGCACCUCCGCGUUCAACACACGUACAGCCCGGUGACGUCUCCCACGCCUUGAUCCAGCAAGGAGAGAGGGAGAGGUUGAGGAAGACUCCAUCCAACAGCAGCACAACGGCGUGGUGGUAGUGGAGGAGCGUGGCAAUCCAGCAGGGCUUCGCCAAGCACCAUGGGAGAGGAGGAGGAGGGAGAGGGGCAGGGCUGCACCAACGAGAGAUCAAAUCGCGUGUUAUGGGCAGCCCCAUGCCUCAAUAUAUAUAGGGGGGAAGGGGGCUGCGCCCCCUUUAGGGUUUUCCCACCCCUAGGGGCGGCGGCCAGCCCUAGAUGGGUUUUGGGGUGCGGCCAAGAAGGGGGGGGAGGAGUCCAUCCUCCCCAAGGCACCUCGGAGGUGCCUUCCCCCUUGAGGACUCUUCCCUCUAGGGUUCCCUAGGCGCAUGGGCCUCUUGGGGCUGGUGCCCUUGGCCCAUGUAGGCCAAGGCGCACCCCCUACAGCCCAUGUGGCCCCCCGAGGCAGGUGGCCCCACCCGGUGGGCCCCUGGGACCCUUCCGGUGGUCCCGGUACAAUACCGAUGACCCCGAAACUUGUCCCGAUCGCCGAAACAGGACUUCCUAUAUAUAAAUCUUUACCUCCGGACCAUUCCGGAGCUCCUCGUGACGUCCGGGAUCUUAUCCGGGACUCCGGACAACAUUCGGUAACCACAUACAAGCUUCCUUUAUAACCCUAGCGUCAUCGAACCUUAAGUGUGUAGACCCUACGGGUUCGGGAGACAUGCAGACAUGACCGAGACGUUCUCCGGUCAAUAACCAACAGCGGGAUCUGGAUACCCAUGUUGGCUCCCACAUGUUCCACGAUGAUCUCAUCGGAUGAACCACGAUGUCAAGGACUCAAUCGAUCCCGUAUACAAUUCCCUUUGUCUAGCGGUAUUUUACUUGCCCGAGAUUCGAUCGUCGGUAUCCAAUACCUUGUUCAAUCUCGUUACCGGCAAGUCACUUUACUCGUUCCGUAACACAUCAUCCCGUGAUCAACUCCUUGGUCACAUUGCGCAUAUGAUGAUGUCCUACCGAGUGGGCCCAGAGAUACCUCUCCGUUUACACGGAGUGACAAAUCCCAGUCUCGAUCCGCAUAAAACAAUAGAUACUUUCGGAGAUACCUGUAGUGCACCUUUAUAGUCACCCAGUUACGUUGUGACGUUUGAUACACCCAAAGCACUCCUACGGUAUCCAGGAGUUACACGAUCUCAUGGUCGAAGGAAGAGAUACUUGACAUUGGCAAAGCUUUAGCAAAUGAACUACACGAUCUUUUGUGCUAGUCUUAGGAUUGGGUCUUGUCCAUCACAUCAUUCUCCUAAUGAUGUGAUCCCGUUAUCAACGACAUCCAAUGUCCAUAGCCAGGAAACCAUGACUAUCUGUUGAUCACAACGAGCUAGUCAACUAGAGGCUCACUAGGGACAUAUUGUGGUCUAUGUAUUCACACGUGUAUUACGAUUUCCGGAUAAUACAGUUAUAGCAUGAAUAAAAGACAAUUAUCAUGAACAAGGAAAUAUAAUAAUAAUACUUUUAUUAUUGCCUCUAGGGCAUAUUUCCAACAGUCUCCCACUUGCACUAGAGUCAAUAAUCUAGUUCACAUCGCCAUGUGAUUAACACUCACAGGUCACAUCGCCAUGUGACUAAUACCCAAGAGUUUACUAGAGUCAGUAGUCUAGUUCACAUUACUAUGUGAUUAACACUCAAUGAGUUUUAUGUUUGAUCAUGUUGCUUGUGAGAGAGGUUUUAGUCAACGGGUCUGAACCUUUCAGAUCCGUGUGUGCUUUACAAAUCUCUAUGUCAUCUCCUAGAUGCAGCUACCACGCUCUAUUUGGAGCUAUUCCAAACAACUGUUCUACUUGGAGCUAUUCUAAAUUAUUGCUCCAUUAUAUGUAUCCGGUCUCUCUACUCAGAGCUAUCCGGAUAGGUGUCAAGCUUGCAUCGUCGUAACCUUUACGACGAACUCUUUUACCACCUUCAUAAUCGAGAAAAUUCCUUAGUCCACUAGUUACUAAGGAUAACUUUGACCGCUGUCCUGUGAGCCAUUCUUGGAUCACUCUUGUACCCCUUGACUGACUCAUGGCAAGGCACACUUCAGGUGCGGUACACAGCAUAGCAUACUGAAGAGCCUACGUCUUAAGCAUAGGGGACGACCUUCGUCCUUUCUCUCUAUUCUGCCGUGGUCGAGCUUUAAGUCUUAACUUCGUACCUUACAAUUCAGGCAAGAACUUCUUCUUUGACUGAUCCUUCUUGAAUACCUUCAAGAUCAUGUCAAGGUAUGUGCUCAUUUGAAAGUACCAUUAAGCGUUUUGAUCUAUCCUUAUAGAUCUUGAUGCUCAAUGUUCAAGUAGCUUAAUCCAGGCUUUCCAUUGAAAAACACCUUUCAAAUAACCCUAUAUGCUUUCUAGAAAUUCUACAUCAUUUCUGAUCAUCAAUAUGUCAACAACAUAUACUCAUCAGAAAUUCUAUAGUGCUCCCACUCACUUCUUUGGAAAUACAAGUUUCUCAUAAACUUUGUACAAACCCAAAAUCUUUGAUCAUCAUCAAAACAUACAUUCCAACUCCGAGAUGCUCACUCCAGUCCUUAGAAGGAUUGCUGGAGCUUUGCAUACUUAUUAGCAUCUUUCGGGAUUGACAAAACCUUCCGGUUGUAUCACAUACAACCUUUCCUCAUUAAAAUCGUCGAGGAAACAAUGUUUUGACAUCCUAUCUGCAAGAUUUCAUAAAUAAUGCAGUAAUCGCUAAUAUAAUUUCAACAGACUCUUAGCAUCGCUACGAGUGAGAAAAUCUCAUUGUAGUCAACUCCUUGAACUUGUCAAAAAACAUCUUAACGACAAGUCGAGCUUUCUUAAUGGUGACAUUUACCAUCAUUGUCCGUCUUCCUUUUGAAAUCCAUCUGUACUCAUUAGCCUUACGACCAUCGAGCCGUUCUGCCAAAGUCUACACUUUGUUUUCAUACAUGGAUCCUCUCUCGGAUUUUAUGGCUUCUAACCAUUUGUUGGAAUUUGGGCCCACCGUUGCUUCUCCAUAGCUCGUAGGUUCAUUGUUGUCUAGCAACAUGACCUUCAAGACAGGAUUACGUACCACUCUGAAGUAGUACGCAUCCUUGUCAUCCCACGAGGUUUGGUAGUGACUUGAUCCGAAGUUUCAUGAUCAAUAUCAUAAGCUUCCACUUCAAUUGGUGUAGGUGCCACAGGAACAACUUCCUGUGCCCUGCCACACACUAGUUGAAGAGACGGUUCAAUAACCUCAUCAAGUCUCCACCAUCCUCCCACUCAACUCUUUUGAGAGAAACCUUUCCUCGAGAAAGGACCCGAUUCUAGAAACAAUUCAUAUUGUUUUCGGAUCUGAAUUAGGAGGUAUACCCAACUGUUUUGGGUGUCCUAUGAAGAUGUAUUUUAUCCGCUUUGGGUUCGAGCUUAAUCCUGAAACUUUUUCACAUAAGCGUCGCAGCCUUUAAGAAAUGACAACUUAGGUUUCUCUAAACCAUAAUCCAUACGGUGUCAUCUCAUCGGAAUUACGUGGUGCCCUAUUUAAAGUGAAUGUGGUUGUCUCUCAUGCCUAACCCAUGAACAAUUGUGGUAAUUCGAUAAGAGACAUCAUGGUAUGCAUCAUAUCCAAUAGGGUGCAGUUAUGAUGUUCGGACACACCAUCACACUAUGGUGUUCCAGGCUGUAUUAGUUGUGAAACAAUUUCCACAAUGUCUUAAUUCCGUGCCAAACUCGUAAUUCAGAUAUUCAUCUCUAUGAUCAUAUCAUAGAUAUUUUUAUCCUCUUAUCACGACGAUCUUCCAACUUCACACUGAAAUUACUUGAACCUUUCAAUAAUUUAGACUCGUGAUUCAUCAAGUAAAUAUACUCAACAUCUACUCAAAUCAUCUGUGAAGUAAGAACAUAACGAUAUUUACUGCAUGCCUCAGCACUCAUUGGACUGCACACAUCAAAAUGUGUUGCUUCCAACAAGUUGCUAUCUUGUUCCAUCUUACUGAAACCGAGGCUUUUCAGUCAUCUUGUCCAUGUGGUAUGAUUUGCAUAUCUCAAGUGAUUCAAAAUCAAGUGAGUCUAAACGAUCCAUCUGCAUGGAGUUUCUUCAUGCGUAUACACCAAUAGACAUGGUUCGCAUGUCUCAAACUUUUCAAAAACGAGUGAGUCCAAAGAUCCAUCAACAUGGAGCUUCUUCAUGCGUUUUAUACCAAUAUGACUUACAUGGCAGUGCCACAAGUAAGUGGUACUAUCAUUACUAUCUUAUAUCUUUUGGCAUGAAAAUGUGUAUCACUACGAUCGAGAUUCAAUAUACCAUUCAGGUUUAAUACUAAUCUUGAUGGUAGAGGGAGCGUGCGAUGCUUGAUCACAUCUAGCUUGGAAAAAACUUCCAACACAUAUCGUCAGCUCACCUUUAGCUAGUCUCCGUUUAUUCCGUAGCUUUUAUUUCGAGUUACUAACACUUAGCAACCGAACCGGUAUCUAAUACCCUGGUGCUACUAGGAGUACUAGUAAAGUACACAUUAACAUAAUGUAUAUCCAAUAUACUUCUAUCAACCUUACCAGCCUUCUCAUCUACCAAGUAUCUAGGGUGGUUCCGCUUCAGUGUCCGUUCCUCUCAUUACAGAAGCACUUAGUCUCGGGUUUGGGUUCAACCUUGGGUUUCUUCACUAGAGCAGCAACUGUUUUGCCGUUUCAUGAAGUAUCCCUUUGUUCCCUUGCCCUUCUUGAAACUAGUGGUCUCACUGACCAUCAACGAUUGAUGCUCCUUCUUGAUUUCUACUUUCGUGGUGUCAAACAUCGCGAAUAUCUCAAGGAUCAUCACAUCUAUCCCUGAUAUGUUAUAGUUCAUCACGAAGCUCUAGCAGCUUGGUGGUAGUGACUUCGGAGGAACUAUCACUAUCUCAUUUGGAAGAUCAACUCCCACUCGAUUCAAGUGAUUGUUGCACUCAGACAAUCUGAGCACAAGCUCAACGAUUGAGCUUUUCUCCCUUAGUUUGUAGGCUAAGAAAAUGUCGGAGGCCUUAUACCUCUUGACGUGGGCACGAGCCUGAAAUCCCAAUUUCAGCCCUCGAAACAUCUCAUAUGUUCCGCGAUGUUUCGAAAACGUCUUUGGUGCCUCUACUUAAACCAUUUAAUUGAACUAUCACGUAGUUAUCAAAACGUGUAUGUCCGAUGUUCGCAACAUCGACAAACGACGUUGGGGUUCAGCACACUGAGCGGUGCAUUAAGGACAUAAGCUUUCUACUGAUCGCAUAAUCGCUACUAUCAACUUUCAACUAUAUUUUCUCUAGGAACAUAUCUAAACAGUAGAACUAUAGCGUGAGCUACGACAUAAUUUGCAAAAGGUCUUUUGACUAUGUUCAGGAUAAUUAAGUUCAUCUUAUGAACUCCCACUCAGAUAGACAUCCCUCUGGUCAUCUAAGUGAUUACAUGAUCCGAGUCAACUAGGCCGUGUCCGAUCAUCACGUGAGACGGACUAGCCAACAUCGGUGAACAUCUUCAUGUUGAUCGUAUCUGCUAUACGACUCAUGCUCGACCUUUCGGUCUCCGUGUUCCGAGGCCAUGUCUGCACAUGCUAGGCUCGUCAAGUUAACCCUAAGUGUUUUCGCUGUGUAAAACUGUCUUACACCCGUUGUAUGUGAACGUAAGAAUCCAUCACACCCGAUCAUCACGUGGUGCUUAGAAGCGACGAACUGUAGCAACGGUGCACAGUUAGGGGAGAACACUUCUUGAAAUUUUGUAAGGGAUCAUCUUAUUUACUACCGUCGUCCUAAGUAAACAAGAUGCAUAAACAUAAUAAACAUCACAUGCAAUUAUAUAGUUGUGACAUGAUAUGGCCAAUAUCAUAUAGCUCCAUUGAUCUCCAUCUUCGGGGCUCCAUGAUCAUCUUGUCACCGGCAUGACACCAUGAUCUCCAUCAUCAUGAUCUCCAUCAUCGUGUCUUCAUGAAGUUGUCACGCCAACGACUACUUCUACUUCUAUGACUAACGCGUGUAGCAAUAAAGUAAAGUAAGUUACAUGGCGUUCUUCAAUGACACGCAGGUCAUACAAAAAUAAAGACAACUCCUAUGGCUCCUGCCGGUUGUCAUACUCAUCGACAUGCAAGUCGUGAAUCCUAUUACAAGAACAUGAUCAAUCUCAUACAUCACAUAUAUAUCAUUCAUCACAUCCUUUUGGCCAUAUCACAUCACAUGACAUACCCUGCAAAAAUAAGUUAGACGUCCUCUAAUUGUUGUUUGCAUGUUUUACGUGGCUGCUAUGGGUUUCUAGCAAGAACGUUUCUUACCUACGCAAAACCACAACGUGAUAUGCCAAUUGCUAUUUACCCUUCAUAAGGACCCUUUUCAUCGAAUCCGUUCCGACUAAAGUGGGAGAGACUGGCACCCGCUAGCCACCUUAUGCACCAAGUACAUGUCAAUCGGUGGAACCUGUCUCACGUAAGAGUACGUGUAAGGUCGGUCCGGGCCGCUUCAUCCCAUAAUACCGUCGAAACAAGAUUGGACUAGUAACGGUAAGCAUAUUGAACAACAUCAACACCCACAACUACUUUGUGUUCUACUCGUGCAAAGAAUCUACGCAAUAGACCUAGCUCAUGAUGCCACUGUUGGGGAACGUAGCAGAAAUUCAAAAUUUUCCUACGCGUCACCAAGAUCUAUCUAUGGAGAAACCAGCUACGAGUAGAAGGAGAGUGCAUCUACAUACCCUUGUAGAUCGCUAAGCGGAAGCGUUCAAGUGAAUGGGGUUGAUGGAGUCGUACUCGUCGUGAUUCAAAUCACCGAUGAUCAAGUGCCGAACGCACGGCACCUCCGCGUUCAACACACGUACAGCCCGGUGACGUCUCCCACGCCUUGAUCCAGCAAGGAGAGAGGGAGAGGUUGAGGAAGACUCCAUCCAACAGCAGCACAACGGCGUGGUGGUGGUGGAGGAGCGUGGCAAUCCAGCAGGGCUUCGCCAAGCACCAUGGGAGAGGAGGAGGAGGGAGAGGGGCAGGGCUGCACCAACGAGAGAUCAAAUCGCGUGUUAUGGGCAGCCCCAUGCCUCAAUAUAUAUAGGGGGGAAGGGGGCUGCGCCCCCUUUAGGGUUUUCCCACCCCUAGGGGCGGCAGCCAGCCCUAGAUGGGUUUUGGGGUGCGGCCAAGAAGGGGGGGAGGAGUCCAUCCUCCCCAAGGCACCUCGGAGGUGCCUUCCCCCUUGAGGACUCUUCCCUCUAGGGUUCCCUAGGUGCAUGGGCCUCUUGGGGCUGGUUCCCUUGGCCCAUGUAGGCCAAGGCGCACCCCCUACAGCCCAUGUGCCCCCCCGGGGCAGGUGGCCCCACCCGGUGGGCCCCCGGGACCCUUCCGGUGGUCCCGGUACAAUACCGAUGACCCCGAAACUUGUCCCGAUCGCCGAAACAGGACUUCCUAUAUAUAAAUCUUUACCUCCGGACCAUUCCGGAGCUCCUCGUGACGUCCGGGAUCUCAUCCGGGACUCCGAACAACAUUCGGUAACCACAUACAAGCUUCCUUUAUAACCCUAGCGUCAUCGAACCUUAAGUGUGUAGACCCUACGGGUUCGGGAGACAUGCAGACAUGACCGAGACGUUCUCCGGUCAAUAACCAACAUCGGGAUCUGGAUACCCAUGUUGGCUCCCACAUGUUCCACGAUGAUCUCAUCGGAUGAACCACGAUGUCAAGGACUCAAUCGAUCCCGUAUACAAUUCCCUUUGUCUAGCGGUAUUUUACUUGCCCGAGAUUCGAUCGUCGGUAUCCAAUACCUUGUUCAAUCUCGUUACCGGCAAGUCACUUUACUCGUUCCGUAACACAUCAUCCCGUGAUCAACUCCUUGGUCACAUUGCGCAUAUGAUGAUGUCCUACCGAGUGGGCCCAGAGAUACCUCUCCGUUUACACGGAGUGACAAAUCCCAGUCUCGAUCCGCAUAAAACAAUAGAUACUUUCGGAGAUACCUGUAGUGCACCUUUAUAGUCACCCAGUUACGUUGUGACGUUUGAUACACCCAAAGCACUCCUACGGUAUCCAGGAGUUACACGAUCUCAUGGUCGAAGGAAGAGAUACUUGACAUUGGCAAAGCUCUAGCAAAUGAACUACACGAUCUUUUGUGCUAGUCUUAGGAUUGGGUCUUGUCCAUCACAUCAUUCUCCUAAUGAUGUGAUCCCGUUAUCAACGACAUCCAAUGUCCAUAGCCAGGAAACCAUGACUAUCUGUUGAUCACAACGAGCUAGUCAACUAGAGGCUCACUAGGGACAUAUUGUGGUCUAUGUAUUCACACGUGUAUUACGAUUUCCGGAUAAUACAGUUAUAGCAUGAAUAAAAGACAAUUAUCAUGAACAAGGAAAUAUAAUAAUAAUACUUUUAUUAUUGCCUCUAGGGCAUAUUUCCAACAAAAAGUACGCCAGAAGGCACCGUCUGAGAGCUUGUUGUUUCUUGGGACCCUUAAAAUAAGUUCAUAGAAUUGAGAAAAAUCAUGAAUUUAAGAAAAUGAAAAAUAAGAAGAAACAAAUAAACUGAAGAAGAAAAGGCCAACCAAAAGAAAAAGAACAGACUGAAGAUGCACAACAAAGAGAAUAAAAGAAGUAAUAAGACACGACAAGUGAGUUGUCCUAUUUAGUUAUAGUGGGUGAAAGUAAUCCAAGAUGUCCAUAGUUCGAAUCCUACUUCAUACACCUAUUUUUUGAAGGUUAAAAAAAGAAAAGAAAAAUGGACCAGACCCAAGACGGAAGGGUGUGUGCGCCGGUUUGUGUUAUGCUACUCCCUAUACAACGGGAGCACCUAGUCAUCGCUUGCUGCGCUAGUUAGCGGACGCAGCGUCGCACGCCACCUUUGAUGGGCUGGCCCAACUACACGAGCGAUCAGCUGUCGCUCGUCAAGAGCAUACGCCCGAUCGCUUCUUCGUGGUUCGACAAAAAAAACUUCUUCAUAUUUGACCUGGACGAAAAGUUGACCAUUGACAUGUUUGACCUUUGAUCGUUGACUUUGAAAAACAUUUCAUAUUUUUGGAAAAGUUCAUGGAUUUGAAAAGUUAGCGAAUUUGCAAAAUGUUCACAAAUUAAAAAUACCAAGAAUUGAUUCUUUUAAAAAUUUGGGGGAAAGGUUCAAGGAUUUGGAAAAUUUUCAUGAAUUUUAAAAGAAGUUCAUCGAUUUUGGAAAAAUGUUUAUAAAUUUUGAAAAAAGUCCAUUGAUUUUGAAAAAAAUGUUCAUCUACUUUGAAAAUAAUCAUUCAUUUUAAAAAAAGUUCAUUAAUUUAGAAAUAAGAAGUUCAUCGAUUUUGAAUAAAGUUCAUCAACUUUGGAAAGAAAAAUCAUCAAUAUUAAAAAUCAUUAAUUAAAAAAACAAAACUGAAAAGUUUGCACAUUGCAAAAGAAAAAGGAAAACAAAAAAGGAGCAUAAAAAGAAAAGGAAAAAGAAAAAUAAAAGCCGAACAAAAAACUAGACAAAAAGGGACAAGGAAUAAUAACAAAGGAAAUAGGAAAGAGGAAAGAGAAUAGAAUAAAAAAAAAGAAGUAUGUAAACACAACAGCUGACGGCGGCUGGUUGGUUAUCGCGUCAAACUUUGUACCAGGAAGUCCCUGGUUCAAGUCGUUGCUGACGGUGGCUGGAUGGGUUAAUCUGAGUCGUCCAUGUAUUUAGGGGGUGUGCCGAAGCAUAAGCGCUAGUUUCAAUCCUUCAUUGGUUUCAGAACUAAAUGCAAUACUCACUCUAUAUCAAAAAAUAAGAUGUUUUUUGGUUUAGAAAUAUAUAGGGGAAGUGUUAGUUUGCAUCCAUGCAGCAGAGGAAAUAUUUGAGUGAAUUGCAGAAAACCAUCACAUUAGCAUAUAGGUUUGCAGAAAAGACUCUUUUACGAAUUUGGGCCGGAAACCACUGAUUUUUGGUCUAAUCUUUUGCAAAAGAAACACUGAUCGGUCUAUUUGGACAUUUUAACCGUGAUUAUGACAUGUGGGGCCUGUAUUUGAUGAUGUGUUAUAACUGUCAGUUCCUGGAACUUUUACAGAGGCACCCUUCAAUCUGAAAACAAAAAUGCAAUUAGGCCCUUGUCAUACCCAGCUCAGCCAUAUUCCGCCGCCGGCCAUCCCGCGCUCGUGCGCUGUCGUCCACGCCGAUGCCCCGGGGGCGGCGGAGCUCACCGGCGAGGGUUCCUGCUUGGAUGCGCCCGUGCUGUGCGCCGCUCCUGCUGCUUGCUCGCCGUCGUUGGCUAGUUGCUCAGACCUCGAGCAUGGCCCGCCGCAGAGCCGUCCGUCGCCGCCGUCCUCGUGGCAGCCCGAGCUCGCCGGUGGAAGAACGCAUCCGCCUGCCCCUCUGGACCGGCCUCCCCCGCGCGAUGAAGCUCCAUGGCCUGGAGUUCCUCGGCCAUCCCGAGCACCCACCUGGAUCUGUCGGGGUCACCCGCGGUCACCCACCUGGAACGCGAGCACAGGGUCGCCGGUCACCGCCAGGCCAUGCACGAGUCUGUCGAGGAGGCAGUGGUGCUCGCAAACCUGCGCCCAGGCCGUGCACGGGUCAACCCUCGUGGUCCACUCCUGUCCCAGGGACGCCUGCGGGCAGUACAACCCCGCCAGUUCCGAUGACGACUCCAACGGCUGCUGCGCCACAGCCGUCGCCAAUCCUAUGGUUUUCGUCGUCGUCAGCCAUGGCCACAGCGCCCAGAGGGGGAAGGGGGCGGCGUGUCACCGUCGGCCGGUGAUGCCGCGUCCUCAUCGGGCGGUGGUAGGACGGCCGCCAGAGGAGGAUGCAGCGGAUGGGUCGUACGCGCGGGUGCGCUGCUGGCUUGGGGUCGCCGGCGACGAGGGGCCGUGCUGCGCCGCUGCUUUCCCCGGUGUCCUGGAUCCCGUGGACCACGACGGCGAGGACGAGCACGCCCUGGAUCUCGGGAGGGAGGGAGUUUCUUAGGGAGAUUUUUCCAGAGAGGGACGAGUUUUUGGCAAAAAAUACCUUGUCUAAUGAAUGUUACGCCACGUCAGCAAAUGGUGGCCCCACAUGUCAUAAUCGCAAUUAAAAUGUCCAAAUAGACUGAUCAAUGUUUUUUGCAAAAGAUUAGACCGAAAAUUAGUGGUUUCUGGCCUAAAUUCAUAAAAGAGUCUUUUCUGCAAACCUAUGCGCUAAUGUGGUGGUUUUCUGCAAUUCACUCGAAAUAUUUCUACAAUCAAUAUUGAUGGUCACCCGUUCAUUACUUAUUAUGAGACGACAUAACUGAUAUGAGGCUUUUUUCUACUGAGUUUCUGGAGAUGCUCGGUGCAAAUUACCAUUUUGUUUAUUUGGAUGCUUAGUGUUCCUUUGUACAUGGCACUUCUUAUGUAUGGGAUUUAUUUUGCACCUACAACAAUCCACCAGGCACCUAGAAACUUUCUUUAUAUUGUUGCCAUGUUACUGAAUACUCUAUAAUGGUUUUGCAUGUGAUUUUAUAAAUAUGUAUCAACUCAUUUUCAUCCUGCAGCAACGCGCGGGUAUCAUCUAGCUUACAGCGCAAGGCACCUCUAGAAAACAAGUAUCCAUUUCGAUUUGUGAGUGGCAACUGCCCAUAUCCCACUUCUUCUUUUUUCAACCGGACUCUCGCCCCUUUUCAUGAAUCACUUAACGAAAAUAUUCAGUAUAAGUCUCCUAACAGCAACUAGCGAUGAAUAAACACAAAAACAAGGAGGCAGGAAAGAGGAAAAGCAAGUUGGGGCAUUAACAGGAACCCACUAAAGAUGCUCGAUGUCGAAACAUCUGCUUUUUUCUGCAGGGCGAAAACAUGUUAACACUAACAACCAGCGAACAAGUAACACCAACGAUCGUCUACAGAACACCAAAAGCACAAACUACCACUCAAAGGGCAUCAAACCACAGUGAGCAAAAAGAAACCCCCAGCACCAGCGAAAUCAGCAUGAGGCACACCGCCACAAAUCUUCACCCGCGCUGAGCCCCAUUAGCAUCUUCGAUCAUGAGUCUCCCCCAAGCAGAAGCACGAUCAGCGAGGGAUGCGGCAACCUGGACUGGUCUCUUCACACCAACCUGAAAGUCAACUCUAUCAUCCAGCUUCAGCAGCCCUGCCCAGUACAUCAUAAACGAACAUGCGGUGAAAAUGGCUUCCAAGGGAGAACCCACCACGCGCUUCUCAAAUGUAACUUUGUUUCGAGUACACCAAAUGCCCGAGGAUAUUGCAGCCAGAAUCAUCAUAUACAUUUUGCCUCCAGGGAAGAAGCAAUAGAGCCAAGAUAAACCUUGCCAAAUAAAUCUGGGACUACAGGAAGCACCAAGAGCCAAACCAAAAAACCCCAGAUAGGUCAGCAAAAGAACAAGGAAGAAAAGAUCGUUAGCAGUUUAUACUUCUCGGCAAAAAGAGCAAGUAGGAUCCCCUAACCAAUUACGCUUGCAUAAAUUAUCACGCGUAAGGGCAACAUUUUGAAAUAGUUGCCAUAUGAAGAUCUUAAUCUUCAGGGGAUGCAAGCUUUCCAAAUCCAUUUGUUAUUCGGACCGGAUACUUCUCUACUAUUUUUGAUUUGUCGGUUUUGUUUUAUGUCUUUUUGUCAGACUUCUGUGUUUGGAUGUGUAUAUCCUAAUUAUAUAGAGGUCAGGUUAUAUCCGUUUGAUGCUACAUUUUGAGAUAAUAAAACCGCCCUUUAUCGAGAAAAAAGUCUUUUUCCAACCAUUCAUAAACAGAUUUAACGGUAAAUCCAUAUCCCACUUCGUAAUAUCCCAUAUUCCAUGUCCUUGAAUUUCUAAGAGAAGAGGGGGGAUAUAAUACUUUGAAAAUUGAGAAUUUUAGUGGCUGAAAUUGUGCUCCCAUCUACUCUCUCUUUUAAAUAUAAGUUUUUUUUAAAGAUUUCGAUACAAACUACACAUGAAUGUAUAUAAAUAUAUUUGAUGGUGUAGAUUCACUCAUUUUGCUCCGUUUUUUUAGAAAAGGAGGAUGACCCCCGGCCUCUGCAUCUGGGAGAUGCAUGCGGUCACUUUAUUGAUUAUUUUCGAUGACCUUACAAAGUAUUACAACAAUAUGCCUGAAUCCGUCAUCUUGGCAACAUAUGCCACUACUCCUAUCCAUAUGAUGAUGGGGCGCUAACUAGGCCAAAUACCCAGACCACUCACCUAAGCCUAUCAUCAAAAGUCAGAAGCCCCAGCCGAGCCACAUACCGGUCUAGAGCAUAAACUGGUCUGACGCAAUCACAUGUGUUGUCGCCGCCAUCUUCCACAAGUCCGUCUUCAGAGCAGAUAUUGAGGCUUCUACCUUGUCAAACCACCCUGCUAUCAACGCCACCAUGACGCCAGACAACUACCUCCUUCUGCGCGAGUCCAUCAUCGCGCAUCGGGCGCCGAGUCUCCACUGCGCCACGCCACCGAGAUCCGUCGUCAUCAAUGUGUAGGAUGAAGCACCGCUCCACAAAAAAAAAC